This 436-nucleotide ribosomal RNA is filed under the name uncultured bacterium. Its description in RNAcentral is "bacterial SSU rRNA". It matches the Rfam family "Bacterial small subunit ribosomal RNA", at positions 28 to 447 of the family's 1533-position model. The record is from RNAcentral.
GAUGAACGCUGGCGGCGUGCUUAACACAUGCAAGUCGAACGGGAAAUAUUUCAUUGAGACUUCGGUGGAUUUGAUCUAUUUCUAGUGGCGGACGGGUGAGUAACGCGUGGGUAACCUGCCUUAUACAGGGGGAUAACAGUCAGAAAUGGCUGCUAAUACCGCAUAAGCGCACAGAGCUGCAUGGCUCAGUGUGAAAAACUCCGGUGGUAUAAGAUGGACCCGCGUUGGAUUAGCUUGUUGGUGGGGUAACGGCCCACCAAGGCGACGAUCCAUAGCCGGCCUGAGAGGGUGAACGGCCACAUUGGGACUGAGACACGGCCCAGACUCCUACGGGAGGCAGCAGUGGGGAAUAUUGCACAAUGGGGGAAACCCUGAUGCAGCGACGCCGCGUGAAGGAAGAAGUAUCUCGGUAUGUAAACUUCUAUCAGCAGGGAAG